CCUACGGGAGGCUGCAGUGAGGAAUAUUGGUCAAUGGGCGGAAGCCUGAACCAGCCAAGUAGCGUGCAGGAUGACGGCCCUACGGGUUGUAAACUGCUUUUAUACGGGAAUAACGCGCCUUACGUGGAGGGCUUUGCAUGUACCGUCUGAAUAAGGACCGGCUAAUUCCGUGCCAGCAGCCGCGGUAAUACGGAAGGUCCGGGCGUUAUCCGGAUUUAUUGGGUUUAAAGGGAGCGUAGGCCGCAUGUCAAGCGUGCUGUGAAAUUUCCGGGCUCAACCCGGGCCUUGCAGCGCGAACUGGCGUGCUUGAGUCCGCGGAAAGCAGGCGGAAUUCGUGGUGUAGCGGUGAAAUGCUUAGAUAUGACGAAGAACCCCGAUUGCGAAGGCAGCUUGCUGCAGCGGAACUGACGCUGAUGCUCGAAAGCGCGGGUAUCGAACAGGAUUAGAUACCCGGGUAGUC
Molecule: ribosomal RNA, 460 nt
Filed under: uncultured bacterium
Lineage: Bacteria
Description: partial 16S ribosomal RNA
Rfam family: Bacterial small subunit ribosomal RNA
Source: RNAcentral